UGGGGAAUUUUGCACAAUGGGGGAAACCCUGAUGCAGCGACGCCGCGUGAUUUAGAAGGCCUUCGGGUUGUAAAAAUCUUUUCUAUGGGAAGAAAAUGACAGUACCAUAGGAAUAAGGACCGGCUAAUUACGUGCCAGCAGCCGCGGUAAUACGUAAGGUCCGAGCGUUGUCCGGAAUCAUUGGGCGUAAAGGGUACGUAGGCGGGUAAGCAAGUUAGAAGUGAAAUCCUAUAGCUCAACUAUAGUAAGCUUUUAAAACUGCUCAUCUUGAGGUAUGGAAGAGAAAGUGGAAUUCCUAGUGUAGCGGUGAAAUGCGCAGAUGUUAGGAGAAAUACCGGUGGCGAAGGCGACUUUCUGGCCAUAACCUGACGCUGAGGUACGAAAGCGUGGGUAGCAAACAGG
This 402-nucleotide ribosomal RNA is filed under the name bacterium. RNAcentral describes it as "partial 16S ribosomal RNA". It matches the Rfam family "Bacterial small subunit ribosomal RNA", at positions 355 to 776 of the family's 1533-position model. The record is from RNAcentral.